CUUACAACAUAUUUGCGCGUAUUUUUUACAAUUAAACUUUAAACAUACUUCAAAAUAAUUAUACUUUAGUAUAUUUUCUAAAAGUAUACUUUAGAAAAAUAUACUUAAAGUUAAAGUUUUGUGCAAUUUUUAAAGUAUACUAAAUUUAAACUUAUUUUAAAAUGUAUUUUAGGUAUACUUUAUCGGUAUGCUUAAAGUUAUCAUUAUAAUAAUGCACUGACAGUAUAUUUCUAAAAUACAUUAUUUAGUAUUCUUUAGAAACAGUAUAUUUUAAGCACAUUUUGAAAGUAUAUGGGGUGUACAAGUAUAUUAUUUUAUGGAGAAAUAACGUGGGCUUAAAAUUACGAGAGAGCAGUAUGUUCUGUUACAUUUUAUAUUGUAGAUGUAUACAUUUGUAAUAUACUAUUAACAUAAUAAGGUACACUUUAACUUCACUAUAGUCAAGCAUUGGAUAAACCAAUGAACUGUGUUUUACCACAAAAUGACCAUGGUUUUGCUAAUAAUAAUCAAUACACCAAAAAAAAAAACAUGGUUACUAAACUUUUGCCACAAAAAAACAUUCAUUUUCGUAAGGGGAAUAUGAGUGUUUGUUUUUUUGUAGUUUUUGAGUCAAUUGCAUACCGCUUUUAGCUGUACACAUUAAUUAACUUAAACAGUUUUCGUAAAUGCAUUUCAGAGAAAAGUGAAUUCUGAGAUUUGAAUAAUGCAUCUGACGUGUGGGAUGACGUCACGACGCACGUAUUUUGAUUUUUACCAGUCGCUCAAGACAGACGGAUUCAGUCCCAAGAAGCUAAAGUUUUUCAAAGACAUUUGUAGGGAGGACUUUGCAGCUAAUGAUUUCCUAAGCCUGAACCAAAACCUGCCAGACUAAAGUUGAUUUGGGAGAGAAAGACGUUGUAAACUUAAUCAUCUUGACAUUCUUCAAUGAGUAAUUGUUCAAUUUUUAGGCAAAUACUGUACACUUUGAAUGCUGUGAAUAAAACUAUAUUUUAAAUAUAUUUAAAAUGACUUGUUUUUGACUGUAUUAAUCAGCUUUUAUUUAUUUGGAAAAAAUUAUUUUGGUUAUGUUACCAGCAAGUAAUCUAUUCCCAAAAUAGCACUCUUUAAGUUAACUAAUUAUUAACGCACUUGAAGUAUACUCAUUACUAAUCUAGCUGCAGGUAUGUAAAAGUAUACAAAAUGUAAUGUACUUGGCAUAUUCAUUUUUCACCAGGGCAGUUUUUAGAAUUUUGGAUUGGCCAAAAAUAUAUAGAAUGUAUGCAAACAGUCUAUUUAAGGUAUACUGAUUGUAUGUUUGCAAGACACUCAUAAUACAUUUAUAAUGUACUCCUAACAUAAAUAAAACACACUCUAAAUCCACUUAUCAAGCAUGAAUUUAGCACAAAAACAGUCAUGUACUUAAAUUGUACUAAAUACACUUAAAGUUGUUCCACUUUAGCACACAAAAGUACACUAAAUACACUUAAAGUUGUACUUUGUUACAAUUAAUAUACAACUAAAAUAUAUUAAGUACAAAAUUAGUUGUUCCAAAAUAGCACUCUUUAAAUAAACUAAUCAAUAGCACACUUUAAGUAUACUGGUCAUUAGUGUGACUGCAAGUAUACUUAAGUAUAUCAAAAUUAAAUAUAUUUAGCAUACUAUUUUUUCACCAGGGAAGGUGCGCACACACACACACACAUUCAUUUGAAGCUUUAAAAAUAAUAAAAAUUAAGCACACACGAAAAAAAAAUAUAAAAAUACUAAUAAAUAAAUUAAAAUACAACACAUAUAGGGUAAGCGAGGCUUGGGCGUGGCGGCCUCGGAUUUGCACCCGGUUGGUUCCAUGCUGCACGCCUUGCUUUUUUAAUGCAUUGCACUCCAGUUGACACAAACAAAUGCUUGAACAUAAUAAUGAAAGGAAAAAAAAAAAACCAUACACAGGGAAGACGGGGCAUGUGUAUGGGUCGGCCUGGGGAUGGAUUUUGGGGCCCUGGGCCCCGCAGCACCUCACCUUGAUAGCUCGUUGUAACAUAACAGUGGUGGGGAUCUAACCUAUGCCAUAGCCAUGAGGGGGGUCAGAGGCAGUUUUAUAACACCUUAUUAUUAAUAUUUGUAUUAAUAUUAUCAUUAAUAUAUCAUUAUUAAUAUCCUUAUCAAAUAUUAUCAUUAUUACUAUUAUUAAUAUUAUUAUUACUAUUUUCAUAUAUUAUAACUACUACUAUCAUUACUACUAUUGGAUGUAUCAAUAUUACUAUUAUUUUGAUUAUUUUUUUUUUUUUAAUAUUAUUAUUGUUAUUAUCUCUACUAUUAUUUAUAAUCCUCUUCCUGAUCCUCCCUCUAAGUCCAGAUGAAAUUUGUAUAUUUAUUAAUUAAUUUGUUUAUUAUUUCUAUUACUACUAUCUGCCAUUUCAUAUUAAUAGAUUUUUCAUUAUUAUUAAUAUUGAUACUAUUAUUAUUAUUGCUAUUAUCACUUUCCUUAUCCAUUUUGUUUAUCUAUUUACUCCUAAUUAUGUCUGUUAUACUUCUGCUCCUUUAUUCAACAAUUUCAACUGUCAUAUCUAUUAUAGUUACACACACACACACACACACACACACACACACACACACACACACACUACUGGCUGUUAUGUUAUGUGUUUUGUUGGUCUUUGUACUUGUAUUUUUUU
Misgurnus anguillicaudatus (oriental weatherfish) is the source of this 2645-nucleotide non-coding RNA. NCBI's taxonomy places the organism in Eukaryota, Metazoa, Chordata, Actinopteri, Cypriniformes, Cobitidae. The record is from RefSeq and is a predicted model, not a curated record.